This 57-nucleotide transfer RNA is filed under the name Anthribidae sp. 9 ACP-2013. RNAcentral's name for it is "tRNA-Arg". The record is from RNAcentral. Lineage: Eukaryota; Metazoa; Arthropoda; Insecta; Coleoptera; Anthribidae.
UAAGAAGCAAAUUUUGCAUUUAGUUUCGACCUAAAAAUUUGGUUUUAGCCCUUAUUU